UGGCGAACGGGUGAGUAACGCGUGAGGAACCUGCCUCAAAGAGGGGGACAACAGUUGGAAACGACUGCUAAUACCGCAUAAGCCCACGGGUCGACAUCGACCAGAGGGAAAAGGAGCAAUCCGCUUUGAGAUGGCCUCACGUCCGAUUAGCUAGUUGGUGAGGUAAUGGCCCACCAAGGCAACGAUCGGUAGCCGGACUGAGAGGUUGGACGGCCACAUUGGGACUGAGACACGGCCCAGACUCCUACGGGAGGCAGCAUG
This 261-nucleotide ribosomal RNA is filed under the name uncultured bacterium. RNAcentral's name for it is "partial 16S ribosomal RNA". It matches the Rfam family "Bacterial small subunit ribosomal RNA", at positions 96 to 353 of the family's 1533-position model. The record is from RNAcentral.